Molecule: long non-coding RNA, 839 nt
Organism: Pollicipes pollicipes
Lineage: Eukaryota; Metazoa; Arthropoda; Thecostraca; Pollicipedomorpha; Pollicipedidae
Exons: 2
Source: RefSeq, a predicted model, not a curated record
GCGGCCCGACGAAGCCCGGCUCGCGCGGCUCAUCUGCAUCGGUCGGCACCUGGACCGCGCAGCGCUGCGCACUGCUUUUGAGUCGGCAGUGCCGGUCCAAGCUGAAGACUCAUCCGCUGUGUGACGUCAUGGCUGGCGGUGUGACGUCACAGUCCGCCAUAGCUCGUUUUUUGCAUUGGUCUUGGACAUGUCGCUGUUCGCUGUUGCCCGGGCCGGAUGUGCGCCGUGCGAAAUCGACCCGUGAUUGGUGGAUUUAUAACAGAAUAUUUAUUAGACAUUCUGCAGGACAGGUUUACAGGUUGCAUGCUAGCACCUCCAGGGUUGCUCCCUGCCUUCAUUCAUCCCCGGUCGGAAGAAUGGUGCUCCUCAGUUACUGAAACAAGCCGGAAAGGUUGACAACGCACUGAGCCUCGCCAGCGGACCUCGUUAACUUCAGCCAUGGCGUAACCAGCCGCGACGCAUCCUUGCGUCUUGGCUUGGGCGUCGGUCCGACGGUGAAUCAAUAGCCGCUUGUCAAUGGUGUUCAAGACCAUAACGUAAGCCAGCGAGUUACCGCGGCGGGCUUCGGGGUCCUGGGACUCUUGUAUGCGCCGCCACCUGUAACUUUGCAACGGUGAACAUGCGAUGGUUUGUGGACUGAACGUGAGCUUUCUUCUUGCUGACAGUGAAACAUCUCGCCCGAGCACCCCUCAUCUUUGAAUGGUUUCCAUGGUAACUGAAGUGAUGUGUUGGACUCACCGAGUGAACCGUGGAACUUUUGUCUCCUGUCGCUAACUUGUGUGCAAAUGGCUACUUGUGGCAUCCUCAUAACUGCGGAAUAAAGACCAAGACUAUAAUGA